GAAGCAAAGAGGCAAUGCCAGCGGUGUGGUUGUUUUUCACGGUGUCGAAAGGCUGAGAUUUAAGCACUGGCCACGACAAAGAAGACCUGAUUUAGAUGGAAAAGCUGAGUGCUGGAGCGGAAACUGGAAACAGCCGGAUCAGCCCAGGAUACAAAUCAGGGAUCCGACAGACAGAUCCAAUGACUCGUCUACACUGAAGGAGGAAGAAAAGUUCACGCCACCACCUUCAUUAAGGCCCUGCUUCUUGCUGCUCCAGAACCACAUGUGGCUCUUCCCCAGUUUGGCUCCUAAGUAAAAGGAUGCAGAGCUGAACAAUGUUGUAAUUAAAGGGACAGCAGGAGAGGGUGGCUUUAGCAGUUUGUCUGUAUGUUUUUAUGCAAUAUCUGCAUAGACUGUCUGCAACAGAUCAAGACCAAAGAUACAAGACCUCCGCUGUCCAGGGAGAGUUCGGUGGAGAGCAGCUGCUCCUCCACAUCAAAAGGAGUCAGUCAGGGGAAGACGAGGCCGAUUCAGACCCAGAACUGGCUGGAGGGACUCAGCUGAGAAAAUAAGAAGUGAACAUGGCAAUUUUUCGCCCAUACCUGAAAAGUUGUCUGGUGUGAAUUGCUUGCAUUGUUUGCUAUUAUUUCAGCUCUUAACUUUGUUCUCUCUUUUCUCUUCCUAGAAGCUACACUUGGCCUGACUCUGUGUCUACCUGUGACACCUUUCUGGAGAGGGGAA
Molecule: long non-coding RNA, 720 nt
Organism: Girardinichthys multiradiatus
Lineage: Eukaryota; Metazoa; Chordata; Actinopteri; Cyprinodontiformes; Goodeidae
Exons: 4
Source: RefSeq, a predicted model, not a curated record